This 704-nucleotide ribosomal RNA is filed under the name uncultured bacterium. Its description in RNAcentral is "bacterial SSU rRNA". It matches the Rfam family "Bacterial small subunit ribosomal RNA", at positions 9 to 715 of the family's 1533-position model. The record is from RNAcentral.
GAGUUUGAUCAUGGCUCAGGAUGAACGCUAGCGGCAGGCUUAACACAUGCAAGUCGAGGGGUAUAGUUCUUCGGAAUUAGAGACCGGCGCACGGGUGCGUAACGCGUAUGCAAUCUACCUUUCACAGAGGGAUAGCCCAGAGAAAUUUGGAUUAAUACCUCAUAGUAUAACGACUCCGCAUGGGGAUGUUAUUAAAGUCACAACGGUGAAAGAUGAGCAUGCGUCCCAUUAGCUAGUUGGUAAGGUAACGGCUUACCAAGGCUACGAUGGGUAGGGGUCCUGAGAGGGAGAUCCCCCACACUGGUACUGAGACACGGACCAGACUCCUACGGGAGGCAGCAGUGAGGAAUAUUGGACAAUGGGCGCAAGCCUGAUCCAGCCAUGCCGCGUGCAGGAUGACGGUCCUAUGGAUUGUAAACUGCUUUUGCACAGGAAGAAACAACGCUACGUGUAGCGUCUUGACGGUACUGUGAGAAUAAGGAUCGGCUAACUCCGUGCCAGCAGCCGCGGUAAUACGGAGGAUCCAAGCGUUAUCCGGAAUCAUUGGGUUUAAAGGGUCCGUAGGCGGUUUAGUAAGUCAGUGGUGAAAGCCCAUCGCUCAACGGUGGAACGGCCAUUGAUACUGCUAGACUUGAAUUAUUAGGAAGUAACUAGAAUAUGUAGUGUAGCGGUGAAAUGCUUAGAGAUACAUGGAAUACCAUUGC